AACCAGACUCCUACGGGAGGCAGCAGUGAGGAAUAUUGGUCAAUGGGCUUACGCCUGAACCAGCCAAGCCGCGUGAGGGAGGAAGGCGCAGAGCGUCGCAGACCUCUUUUGCCGGGGGACAAAAGGCCGGACUCGUCCGGUCCUGAGGGUACCCGGAGAAAAAGCAUCGGCUAACUCCGUGCCAGCAGCCGCGGUAAUACGUAUGGAGCAAGCGUUAUCCGGAAUUACUGGGUGUAAAGGGAGCGUAGGCGGCAAGGCAAGUCUGAUGUGAAAACCCAGGGCCCAACCCUGGGACUGCAUUGGAAACUGUAUUGCUUGAGUACCGGAGAGGCAGGCGGAAUUCCUAGUGUAGCGGUGAAAUGCGUAGAUAUUAGGAGGAACACCAGUGGCGAAGGCGGCCUGCUGGACGGUAACUGACGCUGAGGCUCGAAAGCGUGGGGAGCAAACAGGAUUAGAUACCCCUGUACA
RNAcentral lists this ribosomal RNA (468 nucleotides) under uncultured bacterium. RNAcentral describes it as "bacterial SSU rRNA". It matches the Rfam family "Bacterial small subunit ribosomal RNA", at positions 329 to 794 of the family's 1533-position model. The record is from RNAcentral.